This is a long non-coding RNA of Gadus morhua (Atlantic cod), 368 nucleotides long. RefSeq lists it as uncharacterized. The transcript has 3 exons. The record is from RefSeq and is a predicted model, not a curated record. NCBI's taxonomy places the organism in Eukaryota, Metazoa, Chordata, Actinopteri, Gadiformes, Gadidae.
GCGUUCGUGAGUCUGUGUGCAGUAGAAGAAGACAUUUCCUUACACUGAUGGUAUCAGAGUGCAAGCUGAUAAUUGCUCAGAAAGAAAACAAGUGACGUUGUUUUUCCAGCUGGUAGAGCAAAGAAGAAGGCUAAGUUCAGUUCGUGGAACCCGUCAGAGAGUAACAAUGGUCACCAUCUCUGAACCAGACCCUGGACUCUCUGAGGAACCUGAGGACACGUCUUUGGACCGGGAGGAGACCAGGAAGAGAAGAUUUGAUCUAUGGUUGUCCAUCACUCUCAUUGUGAGCCUCGGACUGCUGAUUAUUCUCACGAUCUCCCUGCGCCUCAGUUCAGUGAUGCCCACGGAGGAGGAGGAGGCCCCCAGCA